CUUGUAUACACACGGACAGCCUUCUACUCGCACCGUGAGUCGGCAAAUAGAAACUACUUGACCAAAAGCAAACGGCAGGGCCAUGGCGGGAAGAACCAUCAAGCCUCCCCUGGUGGGUACCUCAGGAACAGCAUUCAGAAGCUGCUGAGACCACUGGAGAGACUCGGAGCAGGAGUUGAGUUGGAGGAGAGGGGACGACCCGAGGACAACCGCAGCCGGCACCUGUGCGCGUGGAUCUCACCCACCGCUCACCUCCCUCCCUUCCUCCAGAUCUUCUCCAGGCACCUCUUCCCAACGCCCAAUCAGCAGUUUACACGCAAAGAGAACCAACGACGCGAUGCUCGGCGGACCAGCACAUCUCCAGGGGAGGAACGGAGGCUGGGACUGUCAUUCACGGCCGGCAGCGUGCCUUGGGGGCGGUGACAGCAAGAGCACGGCUCGGCCAGAACCCCGUGGGUGUUUGCAUCUCUGCGGGUGGCGUGUAAGUGUGGACACGCUGCCUGGUAGUGUGGAAUAGAGUGCGGAACGGAGAUAGCCGUGUGCCGCACGGAGAUAGGAGAGAAGAGGGGGACCCCAGGGGGAAGGAGCGCGCGCAGGCAGGAGGGCCUCCUUCGGCAAGUCUGAGGACCUGGGUGGUUGGCGAGGAGUUUGAGAAGCGACCCUGGGACCGACAUCACCACCAUCCGGCCUUCAUCACUGGAGCUUUGGGACUGGCCGCGGAGCCGCUUCUGCAUCUGCGUCUUGCAACACGCUGGCAACCCAGGGAUGAAGAGAAUUCCUCCUUGAAGGGAGACAUGGCCAAAACAUGACCUUACCGAGAAUCUAGCCCAGGCCAAGGUAGGGAAGAGCUCCAAGUCCCAGCCAGUGCAUCGCCAAGGCUAGUUUUCUCGCACCCGCCAAUUGCGCCUCCGUUAGAGUUGAGCUCACCCACCCUUGGGGGUGCUGUCCUUCUGAUGAGGGAUCAUGGGAUAGACUGAGGACAGAGUGCAAGCUACCCCACUUCAUUGGAUGUGUGUGACAUUUCUCAGGCACUCCUGGCUGCCCCAGGACAAAGGAAAGGAAAGAAAACAAAUGGCCAGCUGAUAGAGAUCACAGUCAUACAGGACUUGGGUCUCCAUCCAUUUGCAAAUAUCUCAGUAAAUUACAAGAAAAAGGCAAUCUUAUCAAUAGCCUAAUGUCUAGAAACCUAGAGACUCAGUUUCCUGGAGCCCCAACAUCGCCUCAUAUGGGGAACAAAGGCAGAAGGAAAUGGCAGGAAACUAAGUCUCCUUAUAACCUGCAGCCCAUUGACUGAUACGUUUCCCAGGAACU
RNAcentral lists this long non-coding RNA (1311 nucleotides) under Felis catus (domestic cat). RNAcentral describes it as "lncRNA (ENSFCAG00000053790.1)". The record is from RNAcentral. Lineage: Eukaryota; Metazoa; Chordata; Mammalia; Carnivora; Felidae.